RNAcentral lists this ribosomal RNA (238 nucleotides) under uncultured bacterium. RNAcentral describes it as "partial 16S ribosomal RNA". It matches the Rfam family "Bacterial small subunit ribosomal RNA", at positions 524 to 759 of the family's 1533-position model. The record is from RNAcentral.
UACGUAGGGUGCGAGCGUUAAUCGGAAUUACUGGGCGUAAAGCGUGCGCAGGCGGUUUGUUAAGACAGAUGUGAAAUGCCCGGGCUUAACCUGGGAACUGCAUUUGUGACUGCAUGGCUAGAGUUUGGCAGGAGGGGGGUAGAAUUCCACGGUGUAGCAGUGAAAUGCGUAGAUAUGUGGAGGAACACCGAUGGCGAAGGCAGCCCCCUGGGUCAAGACUGACGCUCAUGCACGAAAG